Non-coding RNA from Canis lupus familiaris (dog), 73 nucleotides. The record is from Rfam. NCBI's taxonomy places the organism in Eukaryota, Metazoa, Chordata, Mammalia, Carnivora, Canidae.
GCCUGGCUGGCUCUGUUGGUAGAGCAUGUGACUUUUGAUCUUGGGGCUGUGAGUUCAAGCCCCAUGUUGGAUG